UAUGUGAUCGUCUCUCGCAUAUCAAUAAGCGGAGGAAAAGAAACUAACAAGGAUUCCCCUAGUAACGGCGAGUGAAGCGGGAAGAGCUCAAAUUUGAAAUCUUAAAGGGUUUCCCUUUACGAAUUGUAGUUUAAAGAAGUGUUUUCUGUUGAGGUUUUGGUAAAAGUUCUUUGGAAUAGGACAUCAUAGAGGGUGAGAAUCCCGUAUUUGACCUUUACUUUCAACUUUGUGAUACACUUUCAAAGAGUCGGAUUGUUUGGGAAUGCAGUCCAAAAUGGGUGGUAAAUUUCAUCUAAAGCUAAAUAUUGGCGAGAGACCGAUAGCGAACAAGUACCGUGAGGGAAAGAUGAAAAGAACUUUGAAAAGAGAGUUAAACAGUACGUGAAAUUGUCAAAAGGGAAGCGUUUGACACCAGUGUUGUUUUUCUGAAAAUCAAUUAAAGAACUGUUUAUGCUAAGCUGUUUAGACUUUAUCAGCUAACUGUUUAGUUUUGAGCUUUUCUUUAAUGCACUUUUCAGUUAACAAGUCAACAUCAAUUUCUUUUGCUGUAAAAAAGCUUGAGGAAGGUGGCUUGAGAUUCGUCUUAAGUGUUUAUAGCCUCUUGCCUAUGCAGUCGGAGAGAUUGAGGUCUGCAGCGUAGAUCCUUCGGGGCUAAAUGCAUUUGUGCUAAGUUAUAGCAUUUUAUAGACAACUUGUUGACUAUGAUUUGUCUUGUAGCUUACUCGCUUAUGUUAUUUUACCUACGCUUAGGAUGUUGAUAUCGCGCUCUCACG
RNAcentral lists this ribosomal RNA (773 nucleotides) under uncultured Neocallimastigales. RNAcentral's name for it is "partial large subunit ribosomal RNA". It matches the Rfam family "Eukaryotic large subunit ribosomal RNA", at positions 24 to 644 of the family's 3401-position model. Lineage: Eukaryota; Fungi; Neocallimastigomycota; Neocallimastigomycetes; Neocallimastigales. The record is from RNAcentral.